RNAcentral lists this microRNA precursor (63 nucleotides) under Drosophila mojavensis. RNAcentral describes it as "Dmo-Mir-963-v1_pre stem-loop". Lineage: Eukaryota; Metazoa; Arthropoda; Insecta; Diptera; Drosophilidae. The record is from RNAcentral.
ACAAGGUACAUAUCAGAGUGUUUCCCGUAUUCGAGUUUUGAAACCUCUGUAUAUACCUUUCAU